CGCCCAGAAUCACGCUGAUGGCUCUGAGGAAAUGAGAAACAUCUGUAAUGAAACAUCUUUUAUCCAUGUAACUGGACACUUCAGAACUGGAGCUCCCUGAGGCGUGGCUGCGCUGUGAUUUGCUGCUGGUGGAGUGGUGGGAGGAGCCGAGGGCCUCGCAGUCGGGGCUCACAGCGCCCCCACUGGACUGGGAAGCCCGACGCUGGCGUGCCAUACUGCUCAGAACAUACACGGCAGAGGAGUCCAGAGGAGUGAAGUCAUAACUGUGGCUUUAUUUCAAUUCAGGAGGAUUAGUUCACAAUAACAACGCUGGUACCUCCUAAAAGUGUCAAAAACGACGGAGUCGUCGCAGUUGAUGGCGUCGCGGUGUCCUGGCGGCAGACACACGUCUCCGACCUGCAUGUCAUAGCAGGGGAUGCCGUGCUGUACAACGGGCUCAUGUGGACACGAUUACCUUCAUUGGGUUGGACCGUGUUUCUCCCUCGUCAUCAGAAUCUUCAUCCGACUCCAUCACGUCCUCUGCCUCCUGCCACUCCACAUUCGGACCUUUGUGGAAGCGUAAACGUGUUCCUAGAGGACGACGAGGGGCAGCACAGUGAGUGACAGAAGUUUGGAAACAAUGCCAGGCAGUGGAGGGCCAGGAAUGGGACCAUCCCAGGUCGUCAUCAUCGGACAGAGACGACAUGCAGAAAAUGCCAGACUCCGA
Pimephales promelas (fathead minnow) is the source of this 706-nucleotide long non-coding RNA. RefSeq lists it as uncharacterized. NCBI's taxonomy places the organism in Eukaryota, Metazoa, Chordata, Actinopteri, Cypriniformes, Leuciscidae. The record is from RefSeq and is a predicted model, not a curated record.